UGAUGAUAAUUUGAAAAACGCAAAGGAAAUACAUUUUAUGAACGGAAAACAAGGACCGGUUUCUUCAAAAAAAUCCAGAUUUUUCAUCCGAAUCUCUAAUCUUCCACAAUUAACCCAAAAAAAAAAAAAUAUAACUAUAGAAAAUCACUAAAUCAAUAGAAAAAACAAGGACAUGUCUGGUAAAAGGAGGCCGUGGUCGGAUACCACACCAUUGCUUGACCCACAACAACGUUCUUCUCCUCUCUACGAUUCUUCUCAUCGCUCUUCCACCUCCGCUUCUUUUUCCGUCGAGAUGUCCGCCACCGUCACUGCCACCGCCACUGCCCCUCGUCGCUCUGUUUUCCUCGGCGUCGAUGUUGGCACCGGCAGCGCCCGCGCUGGUCUGUUUGAUGAGAAUGGGAAACUUCUUGGGUCCGCUAGUAGUCCAAUUCAGAUAUGGAAAGAACGUGACUGCGUUGAGCAAUCGUCCACAGAUAUUUGGCAUGCCAUCUGUGCGGCUGUGAAGUCAGCAUGUUCCCUUGCAAAUGUUGCUGGGGAAGAAGUGAUUGGCAUGGGGUUUGCUGCUACCUGUUCUCUUGUUGCUGUGGAUGCUGAUGGAGCUCCAGUAUCAGUUUCUUGGAGCGGGGAUUCAAGAAGAAACAUUAUAGUUUGGAUGGACCAUAGAGCUGUAAAACAAGCUGAGAAGAUCAAUUCCUCUAACUCUCCAGUAUUACAAUAUUGUGGUGGUGCUCUCUCCCCUGAAAUGGAGCCACCGAAGCUUUUGUGGGUGAAAGAAAAUUUGCAAGAAUCAUGGUCAAUGGUGUUCAGGUGGAUGGACUUGAGUGAUUGGUUAUCAUAUAGAGCAACGGGAGAUGAUACUCGUAGUCUAUGUACAAUAGUAUGCAAAUGGACGUAUCUUGGCCAUGCACAUAUGCAACAAAUAAGUGAAAAAGAUUCCCGAGACAUGGAAGCUUGCGGUUGGGAUGAUGACUUUUGGGAAGAGAUUGGCUUGGGAGAUCUUGUAGAUGGGCAUCAUGCUAAGAUUGGACGGAGUGUAGCUUUUCCUGGCCACCCCUUGGGUUCUGGACUAACUCCUACAGCUGCGAAGGAACUGGGUCUUGAAGCAGGAACUCCUGUGGGGACUUCACUGAUUGAUGCUCAUGCUGGUGGUGUGGGGAUCAUGGAGAGUGUUCCUGAGGCAGAUUCUGAUGCUAAUGAGUAUGAUAAGGAAGCAAUAUGCCAUCGCAUGGCAUUAGUAUGCGGUACUUCUACUUGUCAUAUGGUUGUGUCACAGGGCAAGUUGUUCAUUCCAGGGGUUUGGGGGCCAUUUUGGUCAGCAAUGGUCCCUGAGUACUGGCUUACAGAGGGUGGGCAGAGUGCUACUGGUGCGUUACUAGAUUACAUCAUAGAAAACCAUGUUGCUUCUACUCGCCUUGCAAAUUGUGCUGCUUCUCAAAAUAUAUCGCUGUUUGAAUUACUGAACAAUAUAUUAAGGACAAUGAUGGAUGAUCAAAAGGCUCCAUUCCUUGCUGCUUUGACAGAAGAUGUACAUGUUCUUCCUGACUUUCAUGGGAAUAGAUCUCCCAUUGCAGAUCCAAAAGCAAAAGGAAUUAUUUAUGGUAUGACUCUUGAUACAAGUGACAGACAGCUGGCUCUUUUAUACCUUGCUGCAAUACAGGGUAUUGCAUAUGGUACACGCCACAUUGUGGAACACUGCAAUGCUCAUGGUCACAAAAUUGACACAUUGCUUGCAUGUGGUGGCCUUUCAAAAAAUCCUGUGUUUGUUCAAGAACAUGCAGAUAUCAUUGGUUGCCCUAUUGUACUUCCUCGAGAAAGUGAGUCAGUGUUACUGGGUGCUGGUAUUCUUGGUGCAGUUGCUGCAAAGAAAUACACCAGUCUAAGUGAGGCCAUGAAGGCAUUGAAUGCGGCUGGCCAGGUAAUUCAUCCAUCAAAAAACUCAAAAGUGAAGAAGUAUCAUGAUGCCAAAUACCAUAUUUUUCGCCAGCUCUAUGAGCAGCAACUAUCUCAACGUUCAAUAAUAGCCGAAGCUUUGGAGUAGGUUGUGCUGUUGCGCCACUUUUCAGAACUUGUGGAAGAUUGUGCUCAUCAUUCCCAUCCGUUGUCAUCCAAAAAAGAGGGGGGGUGGCGGGGGUGUGGGCUGUGGGGUUGGGGAGAAGAGGGGAAUGGGUUGAGGGUUGGUGAGACUCCAAAGAAUUGUAAAAUUGAUUUUUCAUAUGCUUGUUACAUGGUGGAGAUAGUGGAAAAUUACAAAGCUCUGAAAAUAAAUAUGUAAAAUUUGCACUUUUCUUGCAAAUUUACUAAUAAAUUCCCCUCGCUCGAUUGCUCAUGUUUCUUUGGCUUGAAGUUUGAAGCAAUCUUUUGCAUGCAAGGGAAUUUCAUUAUUUUGGGGACUUUUUUAUUUUUUGGGAUUAACAGGAGAGAUUACACAAUUUUGGUUUUUGCCAUAUGAUAAAAGAAAUGUUGAUAACAUAUUUUUUUUAUUUAGGAUAUUUUCUUUAUUUUCU
Molecule: unclassified non-coding RNA, 2504 nt
Filed under: Hevea brasiliensis (rubber tree)
Lineage: Eukaryota; Viridiplantae; Streptophyta; Magnoliopsida; Malpighiales; Euphorbiaceae
Source: RNAcentral